UUCAGUGUUCACGUGGACAGAGCGAUUUCGUUCAGCUUCAAGGUGAGAGGUCUGCUGUAGGGCAGCAGAACUUGUGCCAAAGAGCUCUUCCUGGACAGGAUCAAGAAGGUACUGUGCACUUCAGGCCACCCUUGCUCUCUGUGACUUUUUGCUCUCAAGCUAUGCUGUGGUUGAGCUUUGUCACUGUCCCCAGACCUUCUGGACAAGACCUGAGUGAGAACAGAGCAAAGAUGAACUUAAUGAAAUCAAUCCAUCUGAAACCAUGGAAAAUUUCUUCACUGAAGAGAGUAUGCAUGGUUCACAUUGCCAUUGCCAAUUCCCAUUAUUGAUAGGAGUCUGGGUCUGGUGUUCCUGAUAUGAUUUGGAAUGUCCACAUAUGUCCAGGAUGGAGCAUUUGUGACAAUUCAAGAGAUGCAGAUAUCCCAGUGCA
Molecule: long non-coding RNA, 430 nt
Organism: Sciurus carolinensis (gray squirrel)
Lineage: Eukaryota; Metazoa; Chordata; Mammalia; Rodentia; Sciuridae
Exons: 4
Source: RefSeq, a predicted model, not a curated record